This is a long non-coding RNA of Clupea harengus (Atlantic herring), 3790 nucleotides long. NCBI's taxonomy places the organism in Eukaryota, Metazoa, Chordata, Actinopteri, Clupeiformes, Clupeidae. The record is from Ensembl.
ACUCACCUGCAUUCUGCACAUCUAAAAGUACACCAUAAAAUCAGGUGCCCUUACAAAGACUGUAACUUUGAAAGCAGUGUUUACUCCACCUUCAAAGCACACAAGAGUAAAGUACACAGGGAACAGAACUGGACAGAAUUUAAGCCAUAAAUCGUUGGCGAUGAUAUUGUAAGCCAUGACCGGGAUGUUGCACAAGAGCAAAUGCUAGAUGCAGAUGAUGUUGAGGACUUAGAAGAGGUGAGUGAAGUAACCAGUGACCAAGAUCUUCAUGACUUAGAAAAGCAGCUUGAGCACAAUUUAGCGUCUCUUCUGCUCAAGAUGCAAACUGUAUUGAACAUACCAGAGAGUGCAGUGCAGGAGGUGAUGCAACAACUUUGUCAACUCAAUAAGCUGUCACAGCCAAUUCUCCAAAGCAGAGUCAGGGCCAUAUUAAAAAGGUAUUAUGCUGACAUGGAUGAAACAGUUUUGAAAGAGGUCAUCAAUGCUGUGUCAGAAAGUAACAUCAUGACAUAUUGUGCCCAGGAUGGAGCUUUAGGAACUUAAAAAAAAGAGCAGCCUAUGUACGCAGAGAGUUUCCACUGGUAAGAGUAUGUUGUAGAAAAAGGCAAAAAAACUCUUGCAUACGUUCCCAUUUUUCCCAUGCUACAGAAGUUACUUCAAAAAACUGAUGUUUUAGACAAAGCUAUGUCAGAAAAAGUCCAUGUCCCACAACAAUACAGAUCAUAUGCUGAUGAACAGCACUUUACGGAAAAUUCACUUUUGGCAAAAGAUGAGUUUACCAUUGCUCUUGGCCUAUACAUUGAUGACUUUGAAGUAGCCAAUCCUCUCGGAACAUCAAGGCUUAAACACAAAAUGUGUGCAGUAUACUAGGUUAUUGCGAACAUACCUGCAAAAUACAGGUCAACCCUCAACUCUAUCCAGUUUGCUCUGCUAUGCAACACCUCCACAGUGAAAGAGUGUGGUUAUGAAAAGAUUAUUCACCCUCUGAUCUAUGACCUCAAGUUAUUGGAGCAAAAUGGCGUUUACGUGGAGCAAUUGGGUGUAAGUGUGAAAGGGACAGUCUUGUAUGUUGCGGCUGAUAAUCUUGGUGCCCACUCCCUUGCAGGAUUCCUGGAGAGCUUCACUGUGGACAAGUUUUGCAGAUUCUGCACAGCAAACAGGGGAGACGCUCAACAGCAGGAGAUGGCUGCACCACAGAAACUAACCAUGAGGGUUAUUAUCUCCGAGGGAGAUAUUAGAAAGAUGACAAUGACUCCACGACCAGACACACUGGAAGACUUGAUUGGCUGGCUCAAAGAUGUUCUUCAAGCAUGCUACACAUUCACCAUACAAUACCAAGAUCCUGAAUUUGACAAUUAAUUGGUUAACCUCACAGAUGUCUCUGAUCUCCCAGAGAAACCAACAAUCAAAAUCAUCCCGGUGAUUGAGCUUGAACCAGUCACAGCACAACUGGAAUUAUGUACUGCCGGAAGCAGCCAGGAAGGCACAGCACAACCAGAAUUAUGUAAUGCCGGAAGCAGCCAGGAAGGCAUCGCCUCUCCAAACAGAUCUUCUCAGUGGCCGGAGGAAUUUGAAAUUCCUAAAUUUCCAGUCGAUGUUGAGUAUAGACUUCGCCAAGCUAACCUGCUAUAUCUCAGGGAUGCAACCCCUCUUCAAGUAACUAAAGAACUUAAGCAUGAAAUUCUCCAGAAACUGGCAGAGACCAUGUAUGCGUUCAAAGCAUACCCAGGAAAAUAAAAUUAUGAAGCUGUUGCCAAAGCCUUGGUGCAAACACACCCGUGCCUUAAAGAGAAAGGGUCCUGUGGCUGGUAUCGAUGGAAGAACAGCAUCACCUUUAAAAUGGGGAAUUAUAGAAGUAAAAUGCGCAAGCUGGGUCGACUUGAUGUCAGUGUCAAUGGUGGUAAACGUGGAAGGCACAGUACUGGUGGUGACCCACCAAACAAAGGCAUCAAGAAGCCAAGGAAAGGUGAAAUCAAUUUCCUGCCUGAUUAUCCAGAAGGGAUGGAAGACCAGAAUCUGGAAGGAAUUCGUCAGAUUCUGGUGAAUGAAAUGAUGAAGACGAAGCCAAAUGCAUCCCUCGUUAAGAAAGAGAUGGAUGUAACAUUUGCCCUCCGCUGAAAGGAAGUUGUCAAUGACGAGCCUGCCAUCAGCCAGAUUGUAGAGCGUUGGCCAGCUCUUUUCACAGAAAGUCAGGUUUGUUUUGAAUAUUACAGUUAAAGAUUUAAUUGCAUUCUGUGUUGUAAUUGUAAUGUUGACUAGUAAACAAAUUAGUACGUUCAUGCUUUUGGCACAUUGUGCCUGCUUAAUUAUCAGAUUUGAAAAGAUGGCUCUGGACUACUUUUUGCUUCACUUUGUUGAUACACAUACGAUUUCAUACAGCCUAAGUGGCAUGUGAAGCAAGGUGCAGUUGAGAGCACAGAGGAGUGUGUCUAAAUAAAGUAUUUGUUCUUUUGUUGUAAACAUAAUCAUACAGAUAAGAAAAUAUAACAUUGACCAUGGGCUUGUAUGUUGUUUACUUUGUUUCAGGUUUAUUAUGAGUUCAGCAGAGUGGUGGGAAGAAAUCUCAGAGAACAUUUCUUUGAUGUGCUUGACCGUUUCUCUCCAAGCCUGAUGGAGCUUUUCAGGAAGAAGACAGGCCUUACUGGUCAGGUUUUGAUUGGGCUGUUACGUCAAACAAAGGUGACUUGAUUUGUCUACAUCAUUUUACUCCCUUUGUUGUCCUGUGAAGUUUCUCUCCUUUCCCUUUGUCUUUUCUGUCUCUCAGUUUCUUCUGUUUUUUUUCUCCUUUGCUUUCCUUCUUUUCUUGUUCCAUCUCGUUUUUCUGAUGUUUUCUUUUCUUCCAAUUCGUCUCUUCUUUUUCUUGCAAUUAUCUAUUCAUAUAUCGUUCCCUUUCAUCUCCUGCCUUAUUUUCUCAUCUUUUCCCCAGUCCUCCUUUUUUAAUGCAUUUCUGUCCCCUAUUGCACUUGUACAUUUUCAUAUUUGUCAUGAAAUUGUGGGGAAUUUCUAGAAUUAGUUUUUGAUAAAUAUGUGUGAGUAUUCUUAGAAAACUUUGUUGUAUUGUGUCUUCUAUAUUCCAGACCUCUGAGCCAACAGACAUCAGGUGCCUUUGUAUUCGGGGACUGCCUGUCAUCUUGGGAGAUGAUCCUUCUGCCUUCUUCAAGACCUGCACUGUAAGCGAAUGAAUGUGUUGUAAACGUUGCAGCUGAAUGUUCUCUUAUCCCUUUUUUUAUUUUGAACCAUUCAUAAAGACCAUAUACUACUUUUUCAUUCAGUGUUUCACAGACUUUUUAGCCAUACACAUUUUUACCCAAAACUAUUUGAAUAUCUGCAUGACUGUUCAAUGGUGUGAAAAUAACUGAGAAAGCUUGACUAUUAAAAUCAAUAUGUUAAACUAACAUCAAAUAUUUUGCUGUGGCUGUAGAAAUGCAAAGUCAAUCCUUAAGGCCAGGCCUCAUAUCCUGUAUGAGCAGCGCGUCUUUCUUUUUAUGUCUUUCAUUGUACAGUUUAUUCAUUGUAAACAUCUGAAGGCAAUUGCUUGUGGACAACCGACUAUUAUCUAACUAGCAUGAUUGUGGCCUCUCCUUGUCAAUCUUUCCCUCUUAAGAUCCAGCUGACAAAGGGCCUCAUUUAUAAAACGUACUUACGCACAGAUUUGAUCUGAGAGUGUUUGUGCGAUCAAAUCCACGUCUAAGUACAGAUUUAUAAAAACCGUCUUAGACGUAGAAAAGGACGUAUCUCUACGUCUGGUUCUAGUUCGUGUAAGUACAUUUCCUUGUGGCAAUACUGGAGU